CAGCAGCCGCGGGAAGACGGAGGGUGCUAGCGUUGUUCGGAAUCACUGGGCGUAAAGGGCGCGUAGGCGGCCUGUUAAGUCGGAUGUGAAAGCCCGGGGCUCAACCCCGGAACUGCAUCCGAGACUGGCAGGCUUGAGACCGGGAGAGGAGGGUGGAAUAUCCAGUGUAGAGGUGAAAUUCGUAGAUAUUCGGAAGAACACCAGUGGCGAAGGCGACAUACUGGAUCAUUACUGACGCUGAGGCUCGAAAGCGUGGGGAGCAAACAGGAUUAGAUACCCCAGUAGUCCCUGUCUCUUAUAA
RNAcentral lists this ribosomal RNA (301 nucleotides) under uncultured bacterium. RNAcentral's name for it is "partial 16S ribosomal RNA". It matches the Rfam family "Bacterial small subunit ribosomal RNA", at positions 509 to 809 of the family's 1533-position model. The record is from RNAcentral.